RNAcentral lists this ribosomal RNA (457 nucleotides) under uncultured bacterium. RNAcentral describes it as "partial 16S ribosomal RNA". It matches the Rfam family "Bacterial small subunit ribosomal RNA", at positions 28 to 523 of the family's 1533-position model. The record is from RNAcentral.
GACGAACGCUGGCGGCGUGCUUAACACAUGCAAGUCGAACGGUAAGGCCCUUCGAGGUACACGAGUGGCGAACGGGUGAGUAACACGUGGGAACCUUCCUAGGGGUACGGAACAACUCAGGGAAACUUGAGCUAAUACCGUAUACGUCCGUGAGGAGAAAGAUUUAUCGCCCUUAGACGGGCCCGCGUCGGAUUAGCUAGUUGGUGGGGUAACGGCCUACCAAGGCGACGAUCCGUAGCUGAUCUUAGAGGAUGAUCAGCCACACUGGGACUGAGACACGGCCCAGACUCCUACGGGAGGCAGCAGUGGGGAAUCUUGGACAAUGGGGGCAACCCUGAUCCAGCCAUGCCGCGUGAGUGAAGAAGGUCUUCGGAUUGUAAAGCUCUUUUGCCAGGGACGAUAAUGACGGUACCUGGAGAAUAAGCCCCGGCAAACUUCGUGCCAGCAGCCGCCGUAA